RNAcentral lists this long non-coding RNA (771 nucleotides) under Salvia miltiorrhiza (redroot sage). RNAcentral describes it as "long non-coding RNA (SMIL_LNC002289)". Lineage: Eukaryota; Viridiplantae; Streptophyta; Magnoliopsida; Lamiales; Lamiaceae. The record is from RNAcentral.
GGUCAAGGGCGAGAUUGAUAAUCUGUUGAGGAGCUUUUGUAUCACAGAAAAUUACUAUCAGGUGGGUUACUUUCAUAUAUAUCAAAUGAGUUUAAUGUUAUGUUUGAACAGUUAUUUCAUUGCAAAAUCUUUGAACUGAAAAUUAUUUCAACUGUUGUCUUGCCAUAAAUGUUUCAAUGUUUGGUAUGAUAUCUAUCUGAUGUGGCUUUGCCAGUUAUUAUGAAAUCGAAUUCGGGUCCUGAGCAGUUGAUAGCUAUCCUGCCAGGGCUAGUGUACACCAGUGACCGUGAGUCAUCUAGCGGGUUGGCCGGUCAAGUGUCCGUGAGAGGUGGCCACCUCUCCGGCACACAGUUCCAGAUAUGAUAGAUUACAGAACUUAGACUGCAGUCGAACUUUAAGAAUCACAAAUGAAUUUAGUAAGCUUGGGCCUUUUAGCGAAAAACUCCCUUGCUGUACUGUUUAUGAUGGCAUGACAAUUUACAGUUUUGAAGCAUGUAUUUUUAUACUUAGGCAUACGUGCCCACUGAGUACUUUUGUACUCAAGCCCUGCAUAUAUUUCUAAAUGUGCAGGUUGAGCAGCUGCCGAUGGUGAUGAAGUGACGAGCGAGACUCUUUUGUCUUAUUAUGUAUUAAUGAACUCUAGGGUUACAUGUCUUCAUACAUGUAAUCAGAACCGUAUUCCGCUGCGUACUCAGAAGUUUUAUGUUAUUUUGGAUAAGUCGGAGUUAUCCAAACUUACUAGUUAUUUGAGUCUAUACGACUAAAACUCCG